GUUUAUUUUCGUAUCGGUGCCGCUUUUAAUGUACUUUAUAUGAAGCUUUAGUGUCAGAUAUAAUGUGUGCCAUGCACUCCAGAUGUUGGUGGAGUUUAUUUCAGUGUGUGUUGACCAGAGAAGAAAGUUAGCAUAGUAAAUAUUAGCUUUAAUGUUAGCAAUGCUAACCGAGCUAGCUGCUCAGUCGUAGCCUGAUUAAAGCUAACGUAGCAUCAAGCUAAUGUGUUGAGUUUCAUGUAAACAGCUGAAGCACACUUCCACUGUGUUCCUGUAAUGUGGUACAUUAAGUUCAUAAAACUGUGGCUGGUUGACAUUAAUGUAACGUUCAGGAAACGUAAAUGUGAUUAAAACUGUAACGUUAAUGUUCUAGUUGUCAGUAAUCAGCUUUAAUUUGACACUAAAACAGACUGAUAGGUUUAAAUGACAUCAGUUUCAUUAAUUUGUUGAAAAUGGACUAAUUUGUUGUGAUGUUGCUGCUGAUUCAUUAAAAGCAGAUGAUCCAUGUUGAAGAUACGUUUAUUUCUAGUAUCAGAAGUACAAGAAGGAAAAUGGAAGUUUAGUUCUGCUACAUCAAAGAUUUCAGGAUUAAAAUAACUAAAUGAGUCUUUAUGCCUCAAACUUUAUUUUUACAAUAAAGAAAUAAUGAAAUAAUCACAGAUAAUGAAAAUAUAAAUAGCAGAGAAAACCUGAGAGAAUAAUUUCCUGAAAAAUCUGUGAAGGAAAAGCAGCUUUUUUAUCCUGAAAGAUCAGAAUCAGCUCCAACAUCUGCAUCUGACAGCAUCAAGUCAACCAGAAAGAAAAGAAAAAAAGAAAAUGACUUCUUUCUGAUCACAUCUGUCCCGCUGCUCACAGUCUGCUGCUGCUCACAUUCUUCACAUUUAUAGUCCACUUUUAAAAGUUCAGCAGACAGGUGCUCUGCUUUGGAGUGUGACGAUGUUGUCGGUGAUGUGGAGAGUGAAGUUUCCGUUUCACCCACAGCGUGCUUUAGGGCAGCCAGGUCGGACUUGAUGUUUAAAAUACUGACCGACAGCUCAGAUUUAACUGUCUGUAAUUCUGUUUUGAUAGGUGUUAAACUUUCACUCAAAGCCGCCAGGAGCUGGGUCUUUAAAAUAACCGCCGUCUCGUUACAGAGUGAAAGUAGCAGUUCCUCCUUAAGGUCAGAGAUUGCAGCAUCUGAGGGCCUCUUCAAAAGAAGACGUAGUUGAUGAAGACGUUCUGGAGCAGGACCAGAAAGACCACGACCAAGCAGCCUUGAGAUCUUAGGCAGCGUCUCCCUCAGGUCCCUCUCUAUCUCCCCACACAUCCACCAACCACUGGAACACAUCUCCAAAGUUCUGCCGGACCAGCUCAGCUUCCGCUCAGAAGAAGUGCUGCCACCUGCCAGAUGAAGGAGCCUUUUGAGAGGCAGCUGGCAUCGUGAUUGGACUGUACUUUGGUCUGUUCCAAUCCAGCUUCAGCUCCAGAGACGGCAGGCGGGACGAGUCAACGGAGGCCGGGUGGACGAAGGCAUGCAGCUGAGUAUUCGAGUUUUUGACAUAGCAUACUAUGGCGUUUUUUUGCACCAAAAUUCAUGAUGAUUUUUUUUUUAAAAGAAAACCUUACCAUAGUGUUUUUGACGGCCUUCUUUAAAUUAUUUCAUCAUAUGGCACGUUUUUACAUGUUGAAAAAUGACAUUUUUCGACAUAGUAUACUAUGGCGUUUUUUCGCGCCAAAAUUCAUGAUGAUUUUUUUUUUUCAAAGAAAACCUUUCUGCAGUGUUUUUCACAGCCUGCUUUGCAUUAUUUCAUCUUAUGGCACGUUUUUUCAACAUGUUGAAAAAUCGCAUUUUUUUUCGACAUAGUAUAUGGCGUUUUUUGCACCAAAAUUCACGAUAAUUUUUUUUUCUUUCAAAGACAACCUUACCAUAGUGUUUUUCACGGCCUCCUUUACAUUAUUUCAUCAUAUGGCACGUUUUUACAUGUUGAAAAAUCACACUUUUUUUUGACAUAGUAUAUGGUGUUUUUUUGCACCAAAAUUCAUGAUGAUUUUUUUUUUUUUAAAGAAAACCUUACCAUAGUGUUUUUAACGGCCUCCUUUACAUUAUUUCAUCACAUGGCACGUUUUUACAACAUGUUGAAAAAUCGCGCUUUUUUUCGACAUAGUAUACUAUGGCAUUUUUUGCGCCAAAAUUCAUGAUGAGUUUUUUUUCAAAGAAAACCUUUCUGGAAAGAACAUCUUCAGGCUUCAAUUCCAGAUCUUCAGAAAACUGUCCCAGGAUCCUGUUGCAACUGCCAUGCCAUCAUCAGCAACGCAAAGGCAGCUAACACGGUUGUCAUGUCCAGUUAACACACCAGCAUGAUCACCUUUUACUGUGUCCCACAUGUUACAGUUGAAGUCAUCAUAUCCUGCCACUCUUUGAGAAUACAACAGAGGUGAUGCCACAUAUGAUGUUGUCAUGAGAGUAGAUCAUUAAUUCCUGAUCAGCACACAGAUCAAACAGCCUGCAGGUGGCAUCAUCAGAGCCACUUCUCUAAGUUCUUCUAAGUUUAACUCCAAGAUUUUAAAUACUUUCAUUUCCCACUAAUGAUUAUCUACUCCAAAUGUCUCACUAAUAAUCAUUAUCAG
Amphiprion ocellaris (clown anemonefish) is the source of this 2604-nucleotide long non-coding RNA. RefSeq lists it as uncharacterized. NCBI's taxonomy places the organism in Eukaryota, Metazoa, Chordata, Actinopteri, Pomacentridae. The record is from RefSeq and is a predicted model, not a curated record. The transcript is spliced from 2 exons.